RNAcentral lists this small nucleolar RNA (135 nucleotides) under Ovis aries (sheep). RNAcentral's name for it is "Small nucleolar RNA SNORA70 (ENSOARG00020001610.2, ENSOARG00025036604.1, ENSOARG00200059559.1, ENSOARG00220059644.1)". It matches the Rfam family "Small nucleolar RNA SNORA70". Rfam says of the family: snoRNA U70 seems to be exclusive to mammals and is a member of the H/ACA class of snoRNA which contain H (ANANNA) and ACA box motifs. H/ACA box snoRNAs are involved in the conversion of uridines to pseudouridines (5-ribosyluracil) a constituent of structural RNAs (transfer, ribosomal, small nuclear, and small nucleolar). The record is from RNAcentral. Lineage: Eukaryota; Metazoa; Chordata; Mammalia; Artiodactyla; Bovidae.
UUGCAGCCAAUUAAGCCGACUGUGCUCUUUUCCCCAUGGGGGCCCAGUGUGCAAUGGCUGCAAAUAGCAGGCUCCUUGGUAGUGUAUGCAACCUGUUGCCUGUACAGGCUGCCCUAAGGGACCUUGGAAACAACU